Molecule: long non-coding RNA, 456 nt
Organism: Zophobas morio
Lineage: Eukaryota; Metazoa; Arthropoda; Insecta; Coleoptera; Tenebrionidae
Exons: 4
Source: RefSeq, a predicted model, not a curated record
AAUAAGGUACGCCCUGAAGGGAAAAUUUAUUACAGGAAACACUUACAUAUAUAUAAUCUGCGCAAGCUACAGUAGAUUGUUCUUUGCUGCUUUUAGGAUGAGAGAACUUAUUUUGUAUAAAAUAAAAACAAAGCCCUGGUUCUGCAAAAACAACUUAUAAUGAGCCGAGCAACCAGAUCCAUUGGAGAUUGGGAAUGCGUAAAGAGAAUUGGGGAGGGAUCCUUUGGAGAUGUUUUCGUAGGAAAACAUAACAAAUCUGGAAAAUUGGCGGCUAUUAAAGUUAUAGAUACCUCCAAAUGGGAAGAAAAAUCGAAAACGAGAAGAACUAAGCUGUUAAAGAGAGAAAUUCGUUUCAGUCGUUUGCUUUACCAUCCCAACAUUAUUAAAAUGAUUGAUACGAUGGUCCAAGGCCCUAAAGUUUUACUAAUUUUAGAGCAUAUCCCUGGAGGUUAUUUA